RNAcentral lists this ribosomal RNA (451 nucleotides) under uncultured bacterium. RNAcentral describes it as "SSU rRNA". It matches the Rfam family "Bacterial small subunit ribosomal RNA", at positions 26 to 518 of the family's 1533-position model. The record is from RNAcentral.
AGAGCGAACGCUGGCGGCAGGCCUAAUACAUGCAAGUCGAACGGAUCCUUCGGGAUUAGUGGCGGACGGGUGAGUAACACGUGGGAACGUACCCUUUGGUUCGGAACAACUCAGGGAAACUUGAGCUAAUACCGAAUGUGCCCUUCGGGGAAAAGAUUUAUCGCCAUUGGAGCGGCCCGCGUCUGAUUAGCUAGUUGGUAGGGUAAAGGCCUACCAAGGCUACGAUCAGUAGCUGGUCUGAGAGGAUGAUCAGCCACACUGGGACUGAGACACGGCCCAGACUCCUACGGGAGGCAGCAGUAGGGAAUAUUGCGCAAUGGGCGGAAGCCUGACGCAGCGACGCCGCGUGGGGGAUGAAGGCCUUCGGGUUGUAAACCCGUUUCAGCAGGGACGAAGCGGAAGUGACGGUACCUGCAGAAGAAGCGCCGGCUAACUACGUGCCAGCAGCCGC